Dermacentor albipictus is the source of this 1450-nucleotide RNA transcript. It is a transcript of the gene named zinc finger protein 771-like, with no coding region annotated. The record is from RefSeq and is a predicted model, not a curated record. NCBI's taxonomy places the organism in Eukaryota, Metazoa, Arthropoda, Arachnida, Ixodida, Ixodidae.
CGUCGCCGCCAGGCGGCUUGGUCAAAUUAAUGUAUUCUGAGUGGUGUUACAUGUGAGUUCAGCGCGAGAUACAUGUUGUGAUUUUUUGUGCGAUCCGUCGUACGACGCGUUGGCGUUUGACUUGCCGCAUACAAUGAUUCGGUACACAAGGAACUGCAGUGGAGCGACCAGCCAUCUCCUCCUCCAACUCGCCAAUGCUCCCAGUGCUCCGCCCAAGCCCAUGGAGCCUGCAAGUCCACAAUAAUGGUUACCUUACUGCUAGGCAGCCAAUAAAAGCAUCGAGGCCUUCCAGCUGUCAAGCUGCCACUACGGAAAGUGCCAAGUCACAUCAGGGACGCAGCCACCACUGUAACUUCUGUGACUAUAAGACUGAUAAUGUAUGUCAUCUGAAAAGACACACCAUGUGCCAUACAGGCGAGCGGCCGUUUGAAUGCCAUUUGUGCCCUCAGAGCUUCGCACAUAAGUUUAAUCUCAAGGUACACCUGCGCACUCACACAGGCGACAAACCGUUUCAGUGCCCUUCAUGCCCUCGGAGCUUCAACGGAAAGGGUAACCUCAACGAACAUCUGCGUACUCACACAGCACAAGUGAAAGGGAUGGCACGCAACUAUUCUGUAUUCCAUCUGCCAAGCGAGAUUCGGCCCAGAGGGAGGUCUGGCUUCGAAGAAUCAGCUGGGGUGAUUUCAACGCAACGCAAUGGUCCCGGCUCUCUGAGGAGCAAUCCUUGUGAAGAGAACUCGCAUGAUGACAUGGGCCUGCUUGGCCUCAGUACGAGUCCCCUCUGUGACAUCCCACUUAUGUGAUCGGUAGGACGAUGUCAGAGGAAUUCAGCAACCCACUGUGCCAACUGUGAAGGAGACCACCCUGUCUACUCGCGAUCCUGCGCCACUGGAAAAAAGAAAAACAAAUAAUGCAACUGAAGUAAGCCUGCCACGGAUGCAUGGUUUGGAACAAUGAAAAUUCCCACAGAAACUGUGCUGGAAGGGCCAUGCCACUCAAACUUUCGACAGAUUACCCAAUACGGCCACGACAUCUUGCGAAGAUCCGCCGCGGCACUCCAGCAGCUCCAGCACUCACUCCUUUGAACCGGCCGCCUGCGAACAAUGUUUCUUGCAGGGUUGCGAAGCAGCAUGUGGUGUCCACAGGAUGACAGUAUAGCUUUGCUGACCUGGCCCUAUUCUCCACCCACUGUAAGACCCGCCGCAGAUGAGUGGUUUGGAACAGUGAAAAUUCCACAGAAACUGUAGUGAAGAGACCAGCCAGCUCCUCCAGCUCCCAACUCUUCCAGUGCUCUGCCCAAACCCAUGGAGCAUGGAGGACUUCCAGCAGUCAAGCUGCAACUAUGAAAGGUGACAAGUCACGUCAGGGACGCUGCCACCACUGUAACUUCUGUGACUAUAAGACUGAUAGUGUAUGUCACCUGAAAAGACACACCAUGGCCCAUACAGGC